CCUAUGUCCUAUCAGCUUGUUGGUGAGGUAAUGGCUCACCAAGGCUAUGACGGGUAUCCGGCCUGAGAGGGUGAACGGACACACUGGAACUGAGACACGGUCCAGACUCCUACGGGAGGCAGCAGUAGGGAAUAUUGCUCAAUGGGGGAAACCCUGAAGCAGCAACGCCGCGUGGAGGAUGAAGGUUUUCGGAUUGUAAACUCCUUUUGUWAGAGAAGAUAAUGACGGUAUCUWACGAAUAAGCACCGGCUAACUCCGUGCCAGCAGCCGCGGUAAUACGGAGGGUGCAAGCGUUACUCGGAAUCACUGGGCGUAAAGAGCGCGUAGGCGGRRUARCAAGUCAGAUGUGAAAUCCURUGGCUUAACYAUAGAACUGCAUUUGAAACUGUURUUCUAGAGUGUGGG
RNAcentral lists this ribosomal RNA (405 nucleotides) under uncultured Helicobacter sp. RNAcentral's name for it is "bacterial SSU rRNA". The record is from RNAcentral. Lineage: Bacteria; Pseudomonadati; Campylobacterota; Epsilonproteobacteria; Campylobacterales; Helicobacteraceae.